Haplochromis burtoni (Burton's mouthbrooder) is the source of this 5435-nucleotide long non-coding RNA. RefSeq annotates it as cornifelin homolog B. NCBI's taxonomy places the organism in Eukaryota, Metazoa, Chordata, Actinopteri, Cichliformes, Cichlidae. The record is from RefSeq and is a predicted model, not a curated record. The transcript has 3 exons.
UAAGAAACGUUUCUCCCACUGAAAACGCUACGUCCAGAUGAACAGAAUCAACCUUUUGGGAUUUACUUACUUAGAUGAUUGAGCAUGCAUCAAGACUGUCUAGAUGCUCUUGCAUGUUAGAUUAAAGACUGACAGUAAAUUUCAAUGUUUAUAAUUCUGUCAAUUUUGAAUAGCACCAACACCACUGUCUAAAAUGCAGCUCCAAACCAUGACAACCAUGUUUUACAGAUGGCUGUAAAACCCUGUUGUGCCUCUCCUCCCCUUUUCUGUUCAUGCUAAAAAUUUUGUUGCGUUUGUUCAACUGCAUUGGACAGUUUUUGCUGUGACAUUUAGAUGGUAGAGUCAGAAUUUGAUAUAAACACCAUGAAAUUGGGGAUUUUACUGGAAUUUUGCUUUCUAAGUUUAAACUAAGAAAAUAGGUGUUUCCCAAAAUGACAAAGUCUAGCUUUGCUUUAUUUCACAACUAUUGCGUUUUGGUUGUGAAAUGAGAACAUUACUCUGUGGGCCUGUGAAAUAUUAAGUACAGUAUUACAACAGAGUUAUUUUUAGUGCUUUCUAUCUUCUAUGAAAAUAUUAAUGUCUUUCUCACCAUCCCCCUCUCUUCUUUUCUAGCUAUUUCUUGUCAGUUGUGCUGUCAAUAAUCUCCAUUUUCUUAUAUUUUUCAUACCCACCUAUUUACUGCCUACGAGGAAUGUCACCUCUUUUAAUCUCUUUUAUGAUCAUUCGUCUCAGCUUUAGCCCUGACGCAAGAGAAGAACAGGUUCUGUGUGAUAAGGGUAAGUGUUAGUGAAUGGGCCUUUCCUGUUAUCUGUUUUGCACACUUCAACAAGAAAUGAGAAAUCAGAUAUCAUAGUGGAGACAUUGUUUGUGGUGAAAUGGUUUACCAAGAAGAAUCACUGGAAACCCUGUUCGGAUGGUGAAAUUCCAAACUACUAAUUUUCUAAAUUAGAGGUGUUGAGUUAUGCAAUCGUUUUAUUUUACACAGCUUCCUACAAAUUUUCAUGUCUAAACUACUUUUUACACUUUAACCAACCUCUCACUGGACUCAGCACACUGCAGGUCAGCAAGGCAAACUGUUAUGAGAACAAAAAGGCCUGUUUGUCUCGUUUCACCCAUAUUUACACCAAAACAUUACAGUCAGGUGGUGACUUAUGAGCAGCAUUCAGAUAUGUAAGUAAAAUAGGGAAGAGUAAAAGAAAGAAAAAGUGAAAAAGAGUAGAGCAGAAAACUUGGCUUACAACGGUUUGGAUAAGGUGAGUCAUCUAUUCUAUCAUGUCUGGUUGAACAUUUCCACACUCUCUGCAACAGCGAUGUGAAUUAUUCCUCAGACGGAAGGCUGCCUGUAACCCGGUCUGCUCCUGUAACAGAGUUCUAGUGGAAUAUUUUAUCUCCUCGGGGACUGAAAUGUGGCUGAAGAGAUAAAGCUAAAUAACAGCUUAUGUUAGAAGACAGCAGUGUUUAAUACUUUAAUGAGUGAGCGACAGCUUGCUCCUGAGGUCACAAACAAAAAGUUUGCUAGUUUGUACAUCUGUACCUGGUUUUUGUUUGUUUGGGGUUUUUUUUGCUGCUGUGUAGAGAAGUUAAUCUGCGUGGUUUAUGCUGGGGCAGAAAUAAACAAAGUAAAAAAUAACUCAUUGCUACAAUAACUGCAAAAAUGUUCACAGGUGUUUAUUUUCCUAAUUCCUAAGCUAUUGAUAAUAUAAUUUCAUUUUUGAAUGAGGGAAUGUCUCAUUUCUGUGGUGACCUCCCGACUCAGGGGUUUUAUACUUUGUGGAUCAGGCAGGGGUCGGGGUGGAAAUCCUGGUGACCCUGAGCCUGGUUUCUGGUUAAAUCUGGCUUUAGGAGUAUGAAAUAUGACUUCUGGUAGAAGAGGUGGUGAGCAGGAGUGGGUAGACUUGUAUUUGUCCAGUUUGGUACCUGCAGAUUGGGUUUUUCCCCCCCACUGGAUUAGAGAAUUGCUUCUGUGUGCCUUGGACCUGGAUCCUGGAACAGGUCCUGACUGUCAUUUGUGCUCAUGUGCCAUAUCAUGUUUGUACUCAACCUUCUUGGAGUCCCUGGGCAAUAUGUUUGAAGGUACGCAUGAUGGGGACACUAUUGUUCAGCUGGACUGCUUCAGUGCUCACAUGGACAAUGACGGUGUGAUUAGGAGGGAAGACCUGAGUGAUCUGAAUUCACGUGGUGUUUUCUUGUUGCACUUCUGUGCUAACCACAGUGUGUCAAUUACAAACACUGUAUUUGAGCAUAAGACUGUCCAUAUGUGCACUUGGCACCAGGAUGCCCUAAGACACAGUUUGAGGAUUGAUUUUGUAAUCUUAUCAUUAAACCUGUGACCACAUGUCUUAGACAUUUUGGUAAAGAGAGAAACAGAGGCAUCAGCUGAUUGCCACCUGGUGUUGAGUUGGAUCAGGCGGCAGUGUGAGAUGCUGGAGAAACCUGGUUUACUUUAUGUACAGUAAAGGCUCUUAAGGAGUGUCUGGGAAAAACCUGCUCCACAGGAUCUUCAAAUCCCAGCUUUGGUAAAGCUUUGAGAGCAUUCCAAGGGUCCACAAUGAGUCCCUCAUAUCGUGCACCUCUGUUGCCAAAGCUGAUUUAUGGAGCUGUGGCUCCAAGGUAGUUGAUGCCUGAGUGGCAGUAAAACCCCAAACCAGAUAGACCACAGAGGUGAAGGUAGCAGCUAAGAUGAAGAAGGAGUCCUGUGAAGCGUGGGACUCUGGAGGCAGUUGACAAUAUAACCCUGGCAGUAGCUAAAGCAAAGACUUGGUCAACUUCAAGGUAUUUCUAGCUAAUCAUCAGAUGAAAGAGGAAGGGGUAGUGACUUCCUCCUCACACUGCAUAGAGUGGGCAAGGACAGCUAACCUCAAAUUAGAGAGUAUAAUUUGGUGGUAGAAAGAAUGAUCUCUUCAAUCCCACUUACACACCUUCUGCAGUGGUCCGGGACAAAGGGGGAUGAAUUGAACCUCAUGUUCAGAAGGAGCAAUGCAGUCCAAUCACCCUUUGUAGCUUGGUCAUAUGGGAGGGGCUUAGAGUAGAGCCAGUACUCCUUCACACUGAAAGGAGCCAAUUGAGGUAAUUAGUGCAUCUGAUCAGGGUGACUCCUUGAUGCCUCCUAGGUGAGGUGUUUCCUACCAUGUGCUACCAGGAGAAGGAUAGAGGGCAGAUUCAGGAUAGUAUCUCUCCACGACGCUGGCAAGAUUAAAUCUCUUGGUUGGCAUGGGAAUGCUUCUUCAGUGUCCCCACAGAUGAUCUUGGGAGAGGAAAUAUCAGGGUAUCUCUGCUCUGACCCAAACUUGAAUAAGCAACAGAAAAUGGAUAGAUGGACUAAACUUCAUCAUGUAAUGAGCAUCGUCAAGGAAUUUAUUUGCAAUUAUAAUAUAGUUCUCUUCUUAUCUUUUAUCUUCUAAUGUUAAUCCACUUUUCUUUUGAAUAGUUCAAUAAUGUUGCGACAGGUGGUACAGGUUCAGCCACAGAGCACGGUUCAAGAGGAAGGGCAAUGGAGCACUGGUCUGUGUGAGUGCUACAAAGACAUGGGCGACUGCUGUUUUGCCCUGUGCUGCCUCCCAGUCUUUACCUGUAAAGUGACCAGUGCAGUGGGAGCUUGCCCCUGCCUACCUCUGCUGGACUGUAUAGGCUGUGUACCACCAGCCUCUCUUGCCAUGAGGGCGUCUGUCAGGCAGCGAUAUGGCAUAAAGGGAACGGUAUGCAAUAACUGCAUGUACCACUUCUUUCUGCGGGCCUUGUACAUGGUGCCAGAUAGCAAGAGGGAGCCAAAUGAGGAAGAAUACCAUCACUUUUGUCAACAUGUCCCAAUAUGAAUCAUUAACAGAGACGUCACUACCAUCAUUCAUGCUAUUUGAAAAAAGCAAGGGCCAUUUAGAUGGAUUUCUAAUUCUGCUUCAAGCAUGACACUUUUAAGAAAAGGAUUAAAGAUCAGCACAUGACAGCCAUAAAUCAUCAACAUGGAGUUCAGCAGACACUGGGUUUCUGUUAUAUACACCUAUACAGCCUAUGGAGGCAUGCUGGUAAACUGAUGAUGGCUAUUUAUGUGCACACAUUUGCAGUUAUUGUUGUAUUUUUAUGUAUUUUUGCUUUGCUUUGUAUUUGCUUGAUUCUUAGAAUUUAUUGCAUUCUUUAAAAGUAUAUGGAUGCCCUUCAGCUUGUGGUCUCUGCUCAAUGUCUUGUUAUAACUGAAUAACGAUUCCAAAAUGAAAGUUGGAUCAAAAUCUGUGAUGUUACUUUGACAUCAGUUGCAGAUGCAGGUCCGACACCUGGAUUCUUAUUAGACCUUCUAGCAAGAGAAAUCCUUGCAUUCAAGGAUUGCUUUUUAUGCCUAUUUAUCAGUGAGAAAAUAAACAAAUAAACAAAUAAAUAAACAAAAAAAAUGUAAAAGUGUCUAAAGAAAAAAAAUGAAAAGAACAAACAUGCACAAACUCAGUGGCUCAGACACAAUACUUCAAAGAUUUUGAUGCUUCACUUGUCUUGCUGAGCUAAAUGACUUCAUGUUUAAGUGUUAGCAUUCCUGAGUUUAUGAUCUUAACAAAGCUUGGAUAACUGCAAAAGUCUAGUGUGUUAAGUUCACCAUGCAACAAAUGAAAUGGAAUUUAGAUGAGCAAAACAAUAAUACUUUAGCGUUAUUUUAUGUGGAGGAGACAUUUUUUCAUAGCCAUGUAUUAACCAUAGCACCUUAAUUACCUAGGAGAUAAAAGCCACUGACAUCAGGACCAGGAAGCUCCUGACCAUGCACGGAGGGUUUCACCCCAAGUCCAGCACUCUGAGCCUGUAUGCUAAGCCUCCAGCUGCUUCUCUGUCUGCAAAACCACCCAUGAAAGCAUUUCUGUCUCCAUCUGCUGGAUGUGCUGCAGCGUGCUGCGGAUGCCAGAUGUUGUUCGUCCCAUCGCACCCUCUGCAUGAUUCUACGUAUAUUCAGACAGAUGCCUUGCACCUUUUCUCCCUUGAGACAUUUUGUGUCUCUACUUAGGGACACGUGACAGCUGACUAAAUCCUCAGGCCACAUCCUGCUUUUAAUCCUGCUCAAUCCUUCCAGUAUUUUAGGCUUCUGGGUUUUUAUGAUAUUGAAAUAUCCAAAACACAUUACUGGAUGUCUUUGUCUGGAUAUCUCAUCUCAAAAAUCCGUUCUGGCUUGCUCAGCAUUCUCAAGCUGAUGCAUAUUUGGUUCUACUUUUGGAUGUGAAAGUAAAAUUUUAUCAGCUUUCCUAAUCCAGGAAUAUCAUCCUAUCUUUUCCAUGGUAUGAGAUAUGUAGUGCUGCCCAAACCUGUUAGGAGGUCAUUUGUGAGAAGAUGGGCGUGCACAAUACAUGGAUUAACAUGAAUGAAAGUGGUCUAAGGAGAUUGCAAAGAAAAGUGUCUGGACUUCUUUAAGUUGCUUGAAGACGUUUCACCUCUCAUCUGCUUUUUCUGUUUUAAGGUCAAAUGGCAGA